UGCUCCUUGAACUGGACAACCAUCAAAAUUCUAAUCAGUCUUAGUCAGACAACAAAUAAGGGUGAACAAUUAUUUUAUGCCACUUAUUGUGAAAAAAUGUGAUUUAGUUUCUUCAGAAUAAGCAGUCCUUACUUUUAUUGUUUUUCCUACUUGUAGACCAGUGAUGUUGUUGCCUUGACGACUGCUAUCCUGCGAUGUCUCUGUUUUCCUCGAGGACGAUGAAAGAGUUCUACAAUGUCUCUGGAUUCAGAUGCCAUGGCAGGCCUCAUCCAGGUUCCUGUGGGGUUAUUGAGUGUUAUGUUAUGCUAAGUAUAUAAUUUUGUUGAAAUAAAAUGUUGAAUUUUGUGAACUUA
Long non-coding RNA from Xiphophorus couchianus (Monterrey platyfish), 353 nucleotides. RefSeq lists it as uncharacterized. The transcript is spliced from 2 exons. Lineage: Eukaryota; Metazoa; Chordata; Actinopteri; Cyprinodontiformes; Poeciliidae. The record is from RefSeq and is a predicted model, not a curated record.